RNAcentral lists this ribosomal RNA (392 nucleotides) under uncultured eukaryote. RNAcentral's name for it is "partial 18S ribosomal RNA". It matches the Rfam family "Eukaryotic small subunit ribosomal RNA", at positions 592 to 976 of the family's 1831-position model. The record is from RNAcentral.
CAAUAGCGUAUACUAAAGUUGUUGCGAUUAAAAAGCUCGUAGUUGGAUCUCAGGCAUGGGCGCACGGUCCGCCUCGCGGCGGUCACUGUGUGUUUUGUUUCCCAUCCUACGCUUCCCGGUUAUCAGCCCAUGGUGCUCUUCACUGAGCGUUUUGGGUGGCCGGAACGUUUACUUUGAAGAAAUUAGAGUGUUCAAAGCAGGCACGUCGCCUGAAUAAUGGUGCAUGGAAUAAUGGAAUAGGACCUCGGUUCUAUUUUGCUGGUUUUCGGAACAUGAGGUAAUGAUUAAGAGGGACAGACGGGGGCAUCCGUAUUGCGGUGUUAGAGGUGAAAUUCUUGGAUCAUCGCAAGACGAACAACUGCGAAAGCAUUUGCCAAGCAUGUUUUCAUUAG